This is a long non-coding RNA of Schistocerca serialis cubense, 239 nucleotides long. RefSeq lists it as uncharacterized. The record is from RefSeq and is a predicted model, not a curated record. The transcript is spliced from 3 exons. Lineage: Eukaryota; Metazoa; Arthropoda; Insecta; Orthoptera; Acrididae.
CGGGCCUGCAGUUGUAAUGUCGAUUGCAGGGAGGUAACCUAUCAGACAAGUAUUUCAACUGCCAUUUGGCCAACUGACAGCACAUGGUGUACAGUUGCUAAACGGUUCACCCUUGUGGAUAACUGUGAAAAUGUCACCGAAGGAAACCAUGGUGCUAAAUUUCAUCCAGAAAAGCAAAUAAUAAAAGAUAAUGCAUUAAAAAUUGAUGUAUAUUUUGAAAACCUCCGUGUUCAGCAAAC